Molecule: ribosomal RNA, 447 nt
Filed under: uncultured organism
Description: partial 16S ribosomal RNA
Rfam family: Bacterial small subunit ribosomal RNA
Source: RNAcentral
ACACUCCUGCGGGAGGCAGCAGUGGGGAAUAUUGGACAAUGGGCGCAAGCCUGAUCCAGCCAUGCCGCGUGAGUGAUGAAGGCCCUAGGGUUGUAAAGCUCUUUCACCGGUGAAGAUAAUGACGGUAACCGGAGAAGAAGCCCCGGCUAACUUCGUGCCAGCAGCCGCGGUAAUACGAAGGGGGCUAGCGUUGUUCGGAUUUACUGGGCGUAAAGCGCACGUAGGCGGACUAUUAAGUCAGGGGUGAAAUCCCGGGGCUCAACCCCGGAACUGCCUUUGACACUGGUAGUCUUGAGUUCGAGAGAGGUGAGUGGAAUUCCGAGUGUAGAGGUGAAAUUCGUAGAUAUUCGGAGGAACACCAGUGGCGAAGGCGGCUCACUGGCUCGAUACUGACGCUGAGGUGCGAAAGCGUGGGGAGCAAACAGGAUUAGAAACCCCGGUAGUCCC